CGGCGGACGGGUGAGUAACGCGUGGGUAACCUGCCUCAUACAGGGGGAUAACAGUUAAGAAAUGACUGCUAAUACCGCAUAAGACCACGGUACCGCAUGGUACAGUGGUAAAAACUCCGGUGGUAUGAGAUGGACCCGCGUCUGAUUAGGUAGUUGGUGGGGUAACGGCCUACCAAGCCGACGAUCAGUAGCCGACCUGAGAGGGUGACCGGCCACAUUGGGACUGAGACACGGCCCAG
RNAcentral lists this ribosomal RNA (239 nucleotides) under uncultured bacterium. RNAcentral describes it as "partial 16S ribosomal RNA". It matches the Rfam family "Bacterial small subunit ribosomal RNA", at positions 96 to 334 of the family's 1533-position model. The record is from RNAcentral.